This 469-nucleotide ribosomal RNA is filed under the name uncultured bacterium. RNAcentral's name for it is "SSU rRNA". It matches the Rfam family "Bacterial small subunit ribosomal RNA", at positions 27 to 518 of the family's 1533-position model. The record is from RNAcentral.
GGAACGAACGCUGGCGGCAGGCUUAACACAUGCAAGUCGAGCGCCCUAGCAAUAGGGAGCGGCGCACGGGUGAGUAACGCGUGGGAAUGUACCUUUUAGUGGGGGAUAACUCCGGGAAACUGGAGCUAAUACCGCAUACGCCCUUCGGGGAAAGAUUAUCGCUAAAAGAUCAGCCCGCGUGAGAUUAGGUAGUUGGUGGGGUAAUGGCCUACCAAGCCUACGAUCUCUAGCUGGUCUGAGAGGAUGAUCAGCCACACUGGAACUGAGACACGGUCCAGACUCCUACGGGAGGCAGCAGUGGGGAAUCUUGCGCAAUGCGCGACAGCGUGACGCAGCAACGCCGCGUGGGGGAAGAAGGCCUUCGGGUUGUAAACCCCUUUCAGGAGGACGGAAGGUCGGGCGGUUAAUAGCCGUCCCGACUGACGGUACCUCCACAAGAAGCCCCGGCUAACUACGUGCCAGCAGCCGC